Molecule: ribosomal RNA, 500 nt
Filed under: uncultured bacterium
Lineage: Bacteria
Description: partial 16S ribosomal RNA
Rfam family: Bacterial small subunit ribosomal RNA
Source: RNAcentral
AUUGAACGCUGGCGGCAUGCCUUACACAUGCAAGUCGAACGGCAGCACGGGAGCAAUCCUGGUGGCGAGUGGCGAACGGGUGAGUAAUAUAUCGGAACGUGCCCAGUCGUGGGGGAUAACGUAGCGAAAGCUACGCUAAUACCGCAUACGAUCUAUGGAUGAAAGCGGGGGAUCGAAAGACCUCGCGCGAUUGGAGCGGCCGAUAUCAGAUUAGGUAGUUGGUGAGGUAAAGGCUAACCAAGCCGACGAUCUGUAGCUGGUCUGAGAGGACGACCAGCCACACUGGGACUGAGACACGGCCCAGACUCCUACGGGAGGCAGCAGUGGGGAAUUUUGGACAAUGGGCGCAAGCCUGAUCCAGCAAUGCCGCGUGCAGGAUGAAGGCCUUCGGGUUGUAAACUGCUUUUGUACGGAACGAAACGGCGAGCUCUAAUACAGUUUGCUAAUGACGGUACCGUAAGAAUAAGCACCGGCUAACUACGUGCCAGCAGCCGCAGUAA